CACAGUAGCUCUGGCUGCAACCGCUGAAAGGAGACCCUACGGGCAGAUCUCUCAGGGCCCAGGAGUGCGGAGCUGGGCACCCCCGACUGUCCUCAGCUAACCCAAGGGUGCAGCCAGCUCCUUCCCCACAAUGCAGUUUGCUCUCCCCGAUUCUGCAACCCAAGUCACAAUUCCCAGGAGGCAUCCAGGGAUGGCUCACAGGGUCUCGGGAAGAAAAGAGGCUCAGCUACAUUUAGCUUGUGUCUCGUGCAGGAUGACGAGCAGCGAGAAGACCCAUUUAAAAAUGUGCGAUGGUGAUCAAGUCGCAAGUGGGACAGAUGGAAGUCUGGGGACGAGUGUAGGGUUAGGGGAGAGAGGAAGAAACGGGAAAAAUAAAGAGGGGGUUUGGUUUAGAGACACAAGGAGAUGGUAACAGGAGAGCUGAUGCCUGGGCUUUCAGAAGCAGGGGCCUGGAGGGCCACAGGAAAAGGGGAGUCCCGUGGCAGUGAGCUGGUGCUGAGACAACAGUGUCCGUCAGUCGGGCAGGUGUCCCAGGAGGGCUGCGGGGGGAGGGGGUUUGGAGCCUCCAGGGAUCUGGUCUGGAAAAGCGACCAAGAGCCUCAUGAGCCCCACACUAAGGAAUCUGAUGAGAAGUCAACUGGCCUCUGAGCUUCUUGGAUUAGAUGUUGCUAUUUCCCCCCCAAUUUAGGAAAAUGUGGCCAUUAAUGCUUCAUACGAUUUUUGUGUUCUCUCUUUUUUCUCUCUCCAUUACACAUACUGGCUGGAGGGCUUCGUACGGCCCAUCGGUCAUUAAGCCUCUCUGAGAAAGACUGUUCGAGCUUUUAUCCAUUCUUCAAUCGGCUCAUUUCUGGGAUCUCGCUUCAGGUUCCCUAGCCUUCCUGCAGUCUCCCACCUGCUGCUGAACCCCCGGCCCCCCCUCGAAGACUGUCGUUAUCAGACAGUAUAGCCCUCGGGUCUCAGAUUUCCGAAACUGGACUUUUGUUUUUAAGAAUAUAGUUUUCCUUUCUCUGCCAACGUUCCCCAUCUAUUUGCUCAUUGUAAGCAUCCUUUCCUAUAUGUGCCUGUAGAUUUUCCUAACAGCUACGUUAAAAAGGCUUUCCCGCGGAAUCGAACUCUGACUCCGGAGGGCCAGGGUCAGUCCUGGCGUCACUGCCUGCCCUCAGGUGGGUUAAUCCAGCCACCAGCGACGCCACAAGCACCUUCUGGGGAACCAGGGGCCCAUCAUCGGAAGUCACACUUACUGUGUGUCCCUGGAAGGUUUUGACCGGGCGGUCACAGCCGAGUCUGCAGACGUGAAUACACAUGUCGGUGCUGCAGGAGGCGAAGGCAGUGUUGUUCUGCCAAUCCACGUCGAGGGCGGGCGCUGCAGGGAAGGGGGGCGGAGACACCGCGGCAUUUACUACUGGGGCGCACGCUCAGCCGACUUAAAAACAACUAGAAGCAGAGUCCAGAAGCCUUCUCUAGUAACACACUAAAAGAACGUGCCCAGUGUGAACACAGCCUCUUCCCCUCAGAGUCCAUAAAGAGCUGUCCGUGCACAUCUGGGAUGCUGAGCAGACGCUCUGGAGAGACCCCCGUGACGGCUGCCAUGCCCUGUGGCAUCUCCGGACGCCCCGACGCGGGGACAGGGGCAAGUCAGCACUGAAUCGGGAGAAGAAUCCAGAUUCCUCAGAAUGUGCUAGUGAUCAGACGGCCCCUCCGAUCUUCCACAGCACUGUGUUUUCACAGUAGCCCCACGGUUCCCGGCCCACCUCCCGCCUGGGCACAGCGGAAGGCAGGCGCGGAUCGCGCUUGGCCAGGGGAUGAGCCCGUGGGCCGGAGCGCUACGACCGCAGCUGCUGUCGCUGACGACACCGCGCCGGCGAAGUCCUCAAUUCCUGGCCGCCCUCUGCAUUCAGGGCAUGCGGUCCGUACGCUUGCAAACAGGACCAUCUGGGGGGCAGCUCUGGGGACAGUGUCUAGCACCUGGUCGUAAAAAUUAACAUCCGCUGACCCUCGCCAUCCAGAGAGGGGGACCCUCUGUACUUGGGUGGCUGACCCCCUGUGAGUGGGCCCCUGCCACCAGGAGCCCCGGAGCCCCCAGGAUGAUCUCACCAUUCGGUGUGGGUAAGCGACGGGAGGCAGGGCGUAGCGAUUCGGGGUCCACAUGCGCUCCCUGCCCACACGUGGGCCAGUGAGGUUCAGCAGUCAGCAGCACUCCAGGCACAGCCUGGCUUUCUUUGUGUUUUUGUUUUGUUUUUAAGUUUAAUUUUGCAAUGUUACUGUUGAUCCAGGCUCCCCUAGUAGUUGCAUUCUGCGGCUCUACGGGAUGGAGGCAAGAGCAGAAGGCUGAUGCUGGUACAGUGUGUGUGUCGGGGGGGAGCUGGGCCACUUCUGAGCGGCUCUGAGCUCAGCUCUGAGCGGCCACGUGCACAGGCAGAUCCAGACCUGUGCCACGGUCACCGAGCAUCCCCUCGUGCCACCUUAUACUCACACCAAGGCCUCCCUGCACCAUCCCUACGGUCUGGCUCCACUCACGCGUUCUCCAGUUCCAACAGUUCUUCAUCUCAAGGUUAUAGGUAACGGAGUCAUGCAGCAGGCGACCUUUGGAGACUGGUCCGAUGGAGACCCCUUGAGAUCUAUCAGGCUGUUCUGUGUUACCAACAGUCUGUUGACGACAUGCUCCUUAUUGCUGAGUGGUAGUCCACGGUCAGCCUCCGAGGAAACGCUUCCUGCUGAUGGUGACAGACCGUGGCCCUAACGGGUGUUCGUGGGAAAAACCUAACGAGCCAAAGCAAUUUCUCAGACCAACCCAUCAACUCGAGGAGAUUCUGAAUGCUGACAAACGGUCCUCCUUAUAAGCUCUAUCUGUGUUUUGCUCCGAAAAAGAGCACACUUCCUUUUCUUUCAAGUUACCAUCUUGAACAGUUUCUAGCACUCUCCUUCACGCUAAAGAAAAAGAAAAAGAGCAAACGACACCUGGAUCUUACUGAACCGGCGAUGGGGACCUAUACACCAUUAUGGUGAGAAUUAUGGGUGAGAAUAUGUAAGAAACACAUGGGUGGUGUUCUUGGCCAGUGGGACAGAGAGCCCUUCCAUGAAGUCUUAGAAAUGCUUUGGGAAAUAUUACA
This is a non-coding RNA of Leptonychotes weddellii (Weddell seal), 3110 nucleotides long. The record is from RefSeq and is a predicted model, not a curated record. Lineage: Eukaryota; Metazoa; Chordata; Mammalia; Carnivora; Phocidae.